RNAcentral lists this ribosomal RNA (429 nucleotides) under Chloroflexota bacterium. RNAcentral's name for it is "Chloroflexi bacterium partial 16S ribosomal RNA". It matches the Rfam family "Bacterial small subunit ribosomal RNA", at positions 355 to 776 of the family's 1533-position model. Lineage: Bacteria; Bacillati; Chloroflexota. The record is from RNAcentral.
UGGGGAAUAUUGCACAAUGGGCGCAAGCCUGAUGCAGCCAUGCCGCGUGUGUGAAGAAGGCCUUCGGGUUGUAAAGCACUUUCAGCGGGGAGGAAGGCGUUAAGGUUAAUAACCUUGGCGAUUGACGUUACCCGCAGAAGAAGCACCGGCUAACUCCGUGCCAGCAGCCGCGGUAAUACGGAGGGUGCAAGCGUUAAUCGGAAUUACUGGGCGUAAAGCGCACGCAGGCGGUCUGUCAAGUCGGAUGUGAAAUCCCCGGGCUCAACCUGGGAACGGCAUUCGAAACUGGCAGGCUAGAGUCUUGUAGAGGGGGGUAGAAUUCCAGGUGUAGCGGUGAAAUGCGUAGAGAUCGGGAGGAAUACCGGUGGCGAAGGCGGCCCCCUGGACAAAGACUGACGCUCAGGUGCGAAAGCGUGGGGAGCAAACAGG